AUUGAACGCUGGCGGCGUGCUUAACACAUGCAAGUCGAGCGGCAGCGGGCCCGCAAGGGUGCCGGCGAGCGGCGGACGGGUGAGCAAUACAUAGGAAUCUGCCUCAGAGCGGGGGAUAGCCAGGGGAAACCCUGAUUAAUACCGCAUGACGUCGAGAGACCAAAGUGGGGGAUCGUAAGACCUCACACUCUGAGAUGAGCCUAUGUCGGAUUAGCUAGUUGGCGGGGUAACGGCCCACCAAGGCGACGAUCCGUAGCUGGUCUGAGAGGACGAUCAGCCAAACCGGAACUGAGACACGGUCCGGACUCCUACGGGAGGCAGCAGUGGGGAAUUUUGGACAAUGGGCGAAAGCCUGAUCCAGCCAUGCCGCGUGUCUGAAGAAGGCCUUCGGGUUGUAAAGGACUUUUGUCGGGGAGGAAAUCCCCAGCGUUAAUACCGCUGGGGGAUGACAGUACCUGAAGAAUAAGCACCGGCUAACUACGUGCCAGCCGCCGCUGUAA
RNAcentral lists this ribosomal RNA (500 nucleotides) under uncultured bacterium. Its description in RNAcentral is "partial 16S ribosomal RNA". It matches the Rfam family "Bacterial small subunit ribosomal RNA", at positions 29 to 523 of the family's 1533-position model. The record is from RNAcentral.